UUGCAGUUAGAACGCUCGUAGUCGGAUUUCGGGGCGGGCCGACCGGUCUGCCGAUGGGUAUGCACUGGUCGGCGCGUCCUUCCUUCCGGAGACCGUGCCUACUCUUAACUGAGCGGGGGCGGGAGACGGAAUUUUUACUUUGAAAAAAUCAGGGUGUUUCAAGCAGGCAGCUCGCUCUUGCAUGGAUUAGCAUGGGAUAAUGAAAUAGGACUUUGGUGCUAUUUUGUUGGUUUCGAACACCGAAGUAAUGAUGAGAAGGGACAGUCAGGGGCACUCGUAUUCCGCCGAGAGAGGUGAAAUUCUCAGACCAGCGGAAGACGAACCACUGCGAAAGCAUUUGCCAGGGAUGUUUUCACUGAUCAAGAACGAAAGUUAGGGGAUCGAAGACGAUCAGAUACCGUCGUAGUCUUAACCAUAAACCAUGCCGACUAGGGAUUGGAGGAUGUUCUAUCUUGACUCCUUCAGCACCUUACGGGAAACUAAAGUCUUUGGGUUCCGGGGGGAGUAUGGUCGCAAGGCUGAAACUUAAAGGAAUUGACGGAAGGGCACCACCAGGUGUGGAGCCUGCG
Molecule: ribosomal RNA, 569 nt
Filed under: uncultured eukaryote
Lineage: Eukaryota
Description: SSU rRNA
Rfam family: Eukaryotic small subunit ribosomal RNA
Source: RNAcentral